Mycena latifolia is the source of this 105-nucleotide non-coding RNA. NCBI's taxonomy places the organism in Eukaryota, Fungi, Basidiomycota, Agaricomycetes, Agaricales, Mycenaceae. The record is from the annotation of a GenBank genome assembly.
GGGCACAUAGUGUAGUUGGUUAUCGCGCCCGCUUCGCAUUGUGGGUCUGAACUGCGGAUUACAUCAGCUUGCGGGAGGUCAGGAGUUCAACUCUCCUUGUGUCCA